Molecule: ribosomal RNA, 465 nt
Filed under: uncultured bacterium
Lineage: Bacteria
Description: bacterial SSU rRNA
Rfam family: Bacterial small subunit ribosomal RNA
Source: RNAcentral
CCUACGGGGGGCAGCAGCUAAGAAUCUUCCGCAAUGGACGAAAGUCUGACGGAGCGACGCCGCGUGGAUGAAGAAUGUAGAGAUAUUGUAAAGUCCUUUUAUGGUGGAGGAAUAAUGCUGAUAGGAAAUGAUCGGCAGAUGACGUUAAACCAUGAAUAAGCCCCGGCCAAUUACGUGCCAGCAGCCGCGGUAACACGUAAGGGGCGAGCGUUGUUCGGAAUUAUUGGGCGUAAAGGGCGUGUAGGCGGAAAAUUAAGCUUGAUGUGAAAGAUCGCAGCUCAACUGCGAAAACGCAUUGGGAACUGGUUUUCUAGAGUUUUGGAGGGGUAGUUGGAAUUCCUAGUGUAGGGGUGAAAUCUGUUGAUAUUAGGAAGAACACCGGUGGCGAAGGCGAACUACUGGCCAGAAACUGACGCUGAGGCGCGAAAGCAUAGGGAGCGAACAGGAUUAGAUACCCCCGUAGUC